Molecule: non-coding RNA, 31 nt
Filed under: Rattus norvegicus (Norway rat)
Lineage: Eukaryota; Metazoa; Chordata; Mammalia; Rodentia; Muridae
Source: RNAcentral
UNCCAUAGCUAGACAUAUGCCUCACUCACUC